This 1093-nucleotide long non-coding RNA is filed under the name Homo sapiens (human). RNAcentral's name for it is "non-protein coding lnc-TP53TG3F-34:1". Lineage: Eukaryota; Metazoa; Chordata; Mammalia; Primates; Hominidae. The record is from RNAcentral.
AGUUCAGGUUUUGCGGUCGCCGUGGUUGCUGUUCCUGCUGCCACAGGUUGGAACUGGAGAUGCCUCUUCCUUCUCUCAGGACAGAACCAUGAGCCUAGCGGCAGCGCCGGUUCGCGAAGCUCCCCCUCCGCCAACGGGCGCCUCCUCAGAGCCGUCCGUGCCCGCCCUGCCGGGAGCUGACCCGCAGCGCAGUGCAGAGUUGCUCCUGUUGGCGGUGACCAGGGAGGGACUGGAGCGGCGGAUCAUCUCCAGGAAGCGGGCUGAGUAGGAACUGCAGCCGCCACAUCCUCUCUUUACCCGGGGAUGUGCAGGAUUACCGUGAAAUCAUGACUCGUCAUCCUGCGAAUUACCAAUGGGAAAAUUGGAGUCUAGAAAUUAUUGCCUCCAUUUUAGCCCACCGGUUCCCCAGUAGCUGUAUUGGGGUGAUGAAGUGCUCCGGAACAAAUGCGCUGCCAUGAUAGUUUUCUGAAAAGUAACAUGUUUGGUUUCCCAGAACACAAUACAGACUCUGGAGCUUUUAAGCACCUUUAUAUGUUAUUAGUUAAUGCUUUUAAGUCAGAGUAGUUUAUCAAAGGAAAAUUUGAAUGAUUGGAAUAAGGACUCCACAGCAUCUAAUUGUAGAUGUCCAAUUCUUCUCAUACUACAAAUCAUUUCCAGGAAGGAAAAGAUAGGACCUUUGAAAAAUCUGAUGGAUCGGCCAUGUGUUUUUAUCCACCAUCACUAAAUGAUGCAUCUUUUCCUUUGACUGGAUUCAAUAAAUGUGUUGUUUUGAAUCAGUUUCUUUGAAUUGAAAGAAGCCAAGAAAGACAAAAACAUAGAUGCUUUCAUUAAAAGCAUAAGUACAAUGUAUUGGCUGGAUGGUGUUCAUUCCGGAGGAAGGAAUACUGGAGUUACUUAUCCACAAGUCUUGAAAGAAUUUGCACAAACAAGAAUUAUUGUUCACACCCAUGGAACACUUUACCAAGUAUGUGAUCUAAUGAGAUCUUGCAUUGGAAAGGAGCAAAAUAAAUUUUUUAGAUACUUGGGGAUAUUGGUAUGCUGGUGAGUAGCUGAAUUCAUUUCACGAAGGAAGCUCCCUACAUAGAGAAUCCCU